UUUUAAGUUUCUUAUGUUAACAGCCAGGAUGUGGGGAGAGUGGCACGCCCACACCGCUAUGACUGGGACGUGGAUUUGAACCUCUGCCCACAGACACGAGCACCUGACCGGACAGGGCGAGCCUACCAGAGCCCCGUGGGGCGGGGAGAGGCGGAAACACCCGAACUGUGGCAGCGAAAUCGGAGAAAACCGACACCCGGCGGAGGGAGCCCAACGGAACCAACCGGCACCGAGGAGCGGGAAGAAGCGGGGGGAGGCGACGCUGCACGGAAAGAGCCGAAGAUGGGCGGAAAGAGCCGAAGAUGAGCGGAAGGAACCGAGGUGCUCCCGGUUUGCAUCCAGAUACCAGUUAAUUUACCAACUUGGGAGGAAUUUUAGGCCCUCUGCGCCAUUAAACUAGAUGCAUCCAUCCCUGAGGUCGCUGAUCUCAAGGAGCUGCGCAUACCAGGUGAUCCAGAGAGUAAUUUACUUAGUUCUUUCUUUACGGAUUGCCAUGAAUUCACCUUUCUCCAAAUUUAGUGCUGUGGCUGGCACAAUUAGCUGCAUGUUUAAGUCACCUAGAUUCAGGAAUUCUUCAAGUACCAUGGACGUGAGACAGGAUGUCUUCUGGCUUGUCCGCUGUGGGUUAUGCACCCACCUCUUCUAUGAGAGGGGAAUCCAAGGUCACUGCGAUUUCCAGCAAGAGAAGGGCUGUGUGCAUCUUGGGCGUGGGGGCACCUGCAUGGACCCGGAGGCCAAGCCAGCCUAUUCUGGUGAGUACAGCAUCCAUCUUGACCAAGAGCGUCCAUUUGUAACUUUUCUCCUUCUGUAAAACCUCUAUGACUUAAGCAGUCU
This 834-nucleotide long non-coding RNA is filed under the name Ailuropoda melanoleuca (giant panda). RNAcentral describes it as "lncRNA (ENSAMEG00000030645.1)". Lineage: Eukaryota; Metazoa; Chordata; Mammalia; Carnivora; Ursidae. The record is from RNAcentral.